This 433-nucleotide ribosomal RNA is filed under the name uncultured bacterium. Its description in RNAcentral is "partial 16S ribosomal RNA". It matches the Rfam family "Bacterial small subunit ribosomal RNA", at positions 28 to 507 of the family's 1533-position model. The record is from RNAcentral.
GACGAACGCUGGCGGCGUGCUUAACACAUGCAAGUCGAACGGGAACUCCGGGUUUAGUUGGGGACGGGUGGGUACCGCGUGGGAACCUGCCCGUGGGUUACGUGUCACUCCCCGAAGGGGAUGCUAAUAACGCCUAGUGUAAUCGGACCAAAGAUUUAUGGCUUUUGGGUGGGGGCGCGUUGGUUUAGCUCGUUGGUAGGGUAAUAGCGUGCCAAGGCGACGAUCCAUAGCUGGUCUGUGAGGAUGAUCAACCCCACUGGGACUGAGACACGGCCCAGACUGGGACGGGAGGCAGCAGUGGGGAAUAUUGGAGAAGGGGCGAAGGCCUGAUCAAGCCAUGCCGCGUGAGUGAUGAAGGCCUUAGGGUUGUAAAGCUCUUUUAGCCGGGAUGAUAAUGACAGUACCGGGAGAAGAAGCACCGGCUAACUCCGUG